GCUCGCGGCCAACCGGCCUGUCACCCUAUCCACCCUCCAGGCCACCCCACCGAGUCUGAGAGGACCCCUCCGCCCAUCCGCUCCCCGGUCGGGGGCCGGGGCUCUCCCAGAGGUUCAGGGUUGUGCCAAGUUCACACAGUGCUGGAGUAAUAAGCCUAUUUCACAGAUGAGGAACCUGCCGCUCUGAGAGGGGCAGAAGCCUACGCAAGGUCUUGCAGCCAGGGGGCCGGGGAGCCGGGACCUGAAGCCAGACCAGAGAGCUGCACACAACUCCACUGAGUGACUGCCCACUGAGAAUUACACCUGCCACACAGGAGCCAGGAGCCGUGCCGGGCUCCUUCCACGCACUGCCUCGCUCACUCUCACCCCGGCCCCUGAGGCAGAUGCACAGAUGAGGAAACUGAGGCACAGAGAAGGCAAGCCACUGAGCCACUCUGUGCCUGUUCGCUCGUCUCCAGAUGGACACAGGACAGCCCUGCGUACCGUCCGGUGUUGAUGAGGAUUGAGCAAGGAACCACAAAGACCGUAAGAGACUGCCUCGCGCACAGUAAGUCCCCGAUACAUGUGGACGAUCGCGACAAUCCUUUCUCGAAUGUCUCCUACUUCCCCACUCCUGGGCCUUUCCACACGCUCGCUCCUGUUCCCUGCCUCACCCCCCCCCACCCUGCUACCUAACUGACCCGCGUCCUCCUGCUCCCAGCCCUUCCCUGACCGCUCAUUCGCACCGCACUCCUCCCUGCUCCUGCCACAUUUCCCCACCACUGCUUGUCCGCCUCUGACCGUCACUUCCUGUUUAUAUUCCUGGAAGAAAUGCUGCUUCAUUCAUCUUGGUGGCCCUGCGCCCGGCACGGGGUGCGGCUCUCAGUGGGUGUUCAGUAAGUACCGGCUGCCGGGCCGAUGGGUGACGGAUAAAGGAAAGGGUGGGAGCGUCCAAAGAUGAGGCCGGGUAAGCUGCACAGCAUAAGAGGCGGGGGGCCCAGACGGCCAGGACAGAGACCAAGGGCAGGGCCGCUGGGCCCCAGACCAAGGGAGAGGCCCCAGGGCCCCCAAAACGAGGUAGACCAUGCCUGCCAGAGGGUGGGAAACUAACUGGGACCAGCCAGAGAGGACUCCGACCACCGAAGGAGCCCAGAGCCCGAGUGACUUCGCCCACCGUCCCCGUUGUCACAGAGCCGAGUCCUGACCCUCCCGCCAGCCAGGCCCACGGCGCCUCACCGAGGACGUCCUUCCUGUGCAGAAAGGACACUUUGCGCAUGACGGCCAUCCUCGUCUUCUCCAGCCCGUCCCUGGUCCCGCUCUUCGCAGCCUUCAUGAGCUGGGUCAUCUGAGCAAAGGCAGAGGGGCUCAUCAGAGAAGCCGAAGGAGAGCCCAGGACGCCUGCCACCAAGGGCCACGCCGCCCCACGCAGGCCUCCCAGCCGGGGCCGCGCACAUCAUGACCCCAGGGCCCGUUCACUCCCAGGGACGGGGCGGCAGAGGCCAAGGGGGACAGCCAGGCAACGCCGCCCAAUGCAUCCCAGGAAGGGGUGAGAAGGGGCAUUUGUGCCCUGGAGAUCACCCCGGAGGAACCCUGUUUACUGGCAAAAGGAGGUCUUAACCCGAUGUCUCCCUUCGGGACAAAGUGCACGGGUAGGCGUCAAAUGAAGGCAGUGGCAUGACACAGGGGAAAGACCUGAGGCCUGGAGCGCCAGGCCUGGGUUCAAAUCCCAGCCGCGCCUCUUGGGACAAGUCACUUAGCCUCACUGAGCCUCAGUUUCCUCACUGAGAUGUGCCAGGGUCUAUGAAGACUAACGGGGGCCAGGGAAGCACGCUGGACAGUAAGAUGAUCCGCGCAAACGGCAGCGGUUACUUUGGGGGCAAGCAGAAGGAAGUGAGUUCACACCCCCACCCCAUCUGCCAAACCCAAGUGAGGCCCCCGUCCCUUGCCCCCCAAAGCAGCCAAGUUUCUGACUGCGCCGAGGCCCGGGAAGGGGAGGGAAGGCCGGAGCUGCCACGGAGCCGAGCACAGCUUCCCCGGCGUGGGGACGGACCACGGCCACCACACCUCGCGGCAGGCAAAGCAGGAUGUGAGGCGGGAGAGGACGCGUGCCCAGGAGGGGGAAGCCGCGAGCUGAGCACUGGGGGAGCCCGGGGCCCACAAACAGAGCCACUGUCCUGGAAGUUAUCCCUGCACCGCCCCCCAGCCCCCAGCCCUGGCAUCUUCCCCGACACACAGUCAGCCCUAUCCCACAGAACUUUUCUCAGUGAUGGAAAUGCCGACUCUCGGUGUGCCCACAGGGGGUCCACCAGCCACCAGUAACUCCUGGGCCACCUGAAAAGCGGCUCUUGUCACUAAGGACCUGAAGUCCCGGUUAUAUUUAAUUGUAACUGAUUUAAACGUAAAGAACCACAUGACUAUCAUAAUGGGCAGCGCAGUUCUAGAACACUCUCUCCUUCCAGAAACUCUCUGCUGAAGGCGGAGAGCACUCCCCUGGGGGGCUCUGGUCCCUGGAGGAGGAGGUCACCUUCCUCCAAGCAAACCCCCUGGUCCCCAGUGGAAGGGCCCCGAGCAGCCGGCCUUGCCAAAAACCCAUUGGGCGUGAGGCCUGGGGCACGGGGUGGUGGUGGCUUUUCAGGAACAAUGCUGACUUCUGGAAACACCCCUCGCCCCCCCCCCACACCCCGCAGGAGGAAAGGGAAGUCCCCUGGGGCCUCCCUGCAUGGAAAUGGUAAAAUUCUUCAGUGGUGAUUCUUGGCUUCUAGGAGUGGGGCUCGGGGGUCAGAAACACCUGUGAUAAUCUAAGGAGAAGCACGGAUGUCCGACCCCAGAAACUACACAGAGAUGCUCGUCCUCCUCUGGGGGUUGGGAGGGGUCACAAGCCCCAGAUUGGAAACCUCUGCUCUGAGCCCAGUUCCUUCCCGGAAGAAAGCUGGGGCAGGCGGCUAUCCUACAAACUCCCAAAGCGGUCUUCUCUUGCCGUUUUCCUGGGCAAAGAAGAGCAGCAAAUGAACAUCCCGGAAGGUGUCCCCACCAUCAACCACGGUGCAAAGGCUGGACCAGGCAUCUGAUUCCAGGGUCACAGCCAGGGCAAGAACAGUGGUCAUAGAAUCUUCCCUUCGAGGCUCCCUCUCCUCUCGGGGCCUUCGCCUUCUGAGAAGUUAAACCUGCCCCCCUCAGGUCACAGGCCCCCCAAGGCGUGUGUAUAGGAACUAUAAAGUGCCUCCCCUCCCCCGCCGCCGCCUCCUCCUCCUCCCCCUCCCCCUCCGGGGAGGCCUCGGGUUCUGAUGAAACAGGACGUGGCACAGGAUGGACAGCAGACCCCGGUUUGAAUCCCGGCUCUGCCACUGACCAGCGCUGUGACCAUCAGCCAGUUACUUCUCUCCAGCCUCACUGAUGCUAAAUGACAGCAGUAAGACAGCUGCCUCCCCGGAUGCCCUAGGGACAAAACAGUCAGACUUCCUUACCCUGGAUCUCUCUGAACGGCUCAGGGCGGGAGGAACGUUCAGCAUCACUCACUAAGGCUCACAUCUCUCCAGGCGUCACCCAAACCCACCGCCACAGUUACCAAAUUUGCGGAUUCCUGGGCCUCGGUCCAGACCUACAGAAUCAGCAUCUCUGGGGGUGCAGCCCAGGAAUCUGCAUUCUCCAAAGCACCCAGGUGAUUCUGAGGACCCCAGAGUUUGCAGACCGCCCCAGCCCAGCCCAGCCCACCCCCCAGGAAUUCUGGCACAGUGACAGUUUCACUCGGAGAGAGAGGCGAGAACGUGGAAAGGAGCAGGUGCCGGCACCACCGGUCCCGGCACAGGUGCGAGAGGCGGCCAGGCUCCGGCGUCGGGGCGGGCCCCUGCCAGGCCGCCGGGGGACAGACAGACAGUACCUUACAGUCGUACUUGUGCUUCAGCGCCUGCACGUCUCUCCCCCCGGCUCUUAAAGCCAAGAUGUCUCUCUUAGUCCUGGCGUAUCUCUCCUUUAGCCUAGUCAGGUCUGGAGAAAGCUGGAGCCCCCAAGCAGCCAGGCAGAAGGAGAGCAGGUGCGAGGAGCAGGCGGGACGGGAGGACACAGACAGGACAACAGAGGAGAAAGGAGACCAGGUGAGGUGGGACGUGGGGCCUGGGGAUGGCUCCCGCCAGGGAUCGGCUCCAGCAGCGUCCCACCCCAAUGCGCAGGCAGCGGGGACUGGGAGUCCUGGCUGCUGGGGGGCCAGGGGCAGGGGACCAGCCGGCCCCGCUCAGAGAAGGGGAACAGUGCCUAGAGGACAAGGACUGUGUCUCAGGCAUCCCCCCAUAUGCCAGGGGCCAGCGAGGGGCUGGUGACACAGGAGGUCCUUGGCAAGUUUGGGAGAUGGAUGGAUGGGCAGGUGCGUGGGCAAAUGCACAGGAAGACGGGUGAAUGGACAGAGAGCUGGUUGGACAGACAGAUGGACUAUAAACAGAGGGGUGAGUGGUUGGAUGGACAGACAGAAAAAUGGCUGGAUGAGCAAAUGGAUAAACUUGGGUGGAGGACUGCAGAUCUGGGUAAAUGGACGGACAGACGGACAAGAAGAUGGAUAAAAACCCAGGGGGACCAGGGGAUGGAUGGAAGCAGUGCCGUGCCGGUAAAUAUUUAACACGCGCUUCUCCAGGAAAUAGACCCCUGCUUUGUUGGCUUUCCAUGAUGUCACUACGCCACCAUGGCAAAUUUCAAGCCACUAGUGUGACGUCGCUGAAUGCGGAGUCGGAAAGAGCGCGCAAUUGGUUCCUAGUUCUCGUGAGCUAGGAAGAGCGGACUCUGGCACGCCGCUGCAGGAAGGAGUGGGCAAACAGAGCAAGGGACGGACGGACGGACAGACGGACGGAGGGCAGGUGGGCGUCUGGAUGGAAGGAGGGGUGGCUGACUAGCUUACACGCCACCUGGGAAGACGGAUGGAUGGAGAGACAAACACAGACAUUCAAACGCAUGAGCAACACUGACAUCCGGUGAAGCAUUCAGAACCCCAAGAAGGUACUACUUCCGGAGUAGACCAGGAAGGGGACCACGAGCAGGAGCGCUGGAGGCAGGCGGGCCUGGGUUUAAGUCGCCACCCCCCGCUCACUAGCUGGAAUAGUGUCUUCACCUCUUGGAGGGACACCUUCCUCACUGGGAAAGCGGCCCGGAUGAUAACCACUUCACGGAGUUACUGAGAAGAUGGAAUGGGAAACACGUGUAGACCCCAAGACUUAGCAAGCACUCAAAACAUGGAAGCUAGUAUUACGCUAUCUUUCAGAUUAUAAGUGCUCAAUAUUUGUUGAAUGGGUGGAUAGUUGGUAGGAUGGAUGGACGGAUGGAAGG
Molecule: long non-coding RNA, 5286 nt
Organism: Lynx canadensis (Canada lynx)
Lineage: Eukaryota; Metazoa; Chordata; Mammalia; Carnivora; Felidae
Exons: 3
Source: RefSeq, a predicted model, not a curated record